GAUGAACGCUGGCGGCGUGCCUAACACAUGCAAGUCGAGCGAACAGACGAGGAUCUUGCUCCUCUGACGUGAGCGGCGGACGGGUGAGUAACACGUGGAUAACCUACCUAUAAGACUGGGAUAACUACGGGAAACCGGAGCCAAUAUCGGACAAGAGAUUGAACCGGAUGGUUCAAUAGUGAAAGACGGUUUUGCUGGCACUGAUAGAUGGAUCCUUGUCGCAUUAGCUAGUUGGUAGGGUAACGGCUUACCAAGGCGACGAUGCGUAGCCGACCUGAGAGGAUGAUCAGCCACACUGGAACUGAGACACGGUCCAGACUCCUACGGGAGGCAGCAGUGGGGAAUCUUCGACAAUGGGCGAAAGCCUGACGCAGCAACGCCGCGUGAGUGAUGAAGGUCUUCGGAUCGUAAAACGCUGUUAUUAGGGAAGAACACAUGUGUGAGAAAAUAUGGACGUCUUGACGGUACCUAAACAAAAAGCAACGGCUAACUACGUG
RNAcentral lists this ribosomal RNA (497 nucleotides) under uncultured bacterium. Its description in RNAcentral is "partial 16S ribosomal RNA". It matches the Rfam family "Bacterial small subunit ribosomal RNA", at positions 28 to 507 of the family's 1533-position model. The record is from RNAcentral.